UAUAUUUACAUUAUAUUAUUGCAAAACUGUGCACGUGGAGGGAGGCUGCAUGUGCAUGUAGAGGAAGACAUUGGAUGUUCUUCUCUAUGACUCUUUACCUUAUCCCAUGGAGACAAAGUCUCUAACUAAAACUGGAGUUAGGCUUGCAGCCAGCAAGCCCCAGGGAUUCUCCUGUCUGCACCCCCAAGAGCACUUGAGUAACAGCAGUGCAUGGCCACACCCAACUUUUAGCAUGGGAGCCUGUGUCUGAUCUCAGACAGAUCCUUUUGCUUGCAGAGAAAGUGCUCUAACCUAGAGAGCUGUCCCUCCUGCCCAUUGUUAGUGUUUGACAGAAUUCUUCUCCAAGUUUCUAUGUGCUUUCAAUUAUUCUUUUAGUGCCUUGCUAGUGGUGCCAUCCACCUGCAAUCUCAGCACUUGGAAAGGAGAAUCAGGAAUUACUUCGAGCCACCUGAGAACCCAUCUGAAAAAAGAAGGGUGGGGAAGAAAGCAAAGAAAGAAAGAAAAACCAUUUCAACUAAAGUAUGUAGUUAUAGUCAGCAUACUGUUUUUCAUCAUAUAGGAUUCAUUUUAUUUGUGGGGCGAUGGGGCCUGGAGAUCCAACCCAAGGCCAUCAUGCAUAUUUAAGCGAGUAUUCUAGUCCUGAGCUCCAUCCCUCACCAACCUGAACUCGCCUUUUGACAAAGGGCUUACAGCUUUCCCUGGAACCCACAGAGAUCUGCCUGCCUCAGCCUACCAUGUGCUGGGAUUAAAGGUAUGUAGCACCACGUCCAGCAAGUCUACUUACUAUCUUUUCUAGGUCCCUCACUUUCAGACCAUACUUGUAGCAUUCCUUUCUUACCUUUCAGCCACUUCGUUUAAUAAACUUAAUGGGUUGUAAUGUUUCUUUUUAGGUUUUACGUAUCACCAGACAGCUACAAUGCACGUAACACUGCAAUUCACAGAAUGUGUACUUCUCAAGUACAGACCACCCCUUUCCAUUAUGGAAAUACAUAGCAAAAAGUAUGUCCUUCUUGUGACAGAAAAUUAAAAUGCCAGCUACUCUCUGUCCUUGCAACCCUGCAGAGACCCACUGAGACCAGGGAGCAUGUGGCAUGGGCAUCCCUGCAUGAAGGCCCUGAGAGGGCAGACGCCAUGAGAGGCCAUUGUAUGAAGCUGUGAAAGUGAAGCCUGGUUUGCAAUGGAGACACCAAGAUAGAGAUGCCAGGACUGUGAAGCAUUUCGGGAGUGCAAGCAGUUCUCGAGAAAAUUAUGUUAGAAGCUGUAAGGGUAGAGCCAUCUAAGUGCUUUAAAACUAAAAUCCCAGAUACCACACAUGAAGGUACAGGACUUGAUAUUUGCAUGGCUGUUUUAGUUUUUGCUUUGAUCCAGUAUUCUCUUAUUAUGCUGCCAUUCAUCCUUUUUGGAAUGUUAUUGUAUAUUUUGUGUCAUAGUAUAUUGGAAGUAAGUAAUUCCCUCUUUCCUUCUUUUUCUUUUUUCUUUUUUCCUUUUUCUUUUUCUUUUUCUUUUUUUUUUUUUGGUUUUACAGGGUGUUACACUUAAAAGAUUAUCUUGAGUCUCAGAAGAGAAUUUGGGUUUUUGGAAAAUAUUGAGAUUGUAAAGGACUAUGGGGGUUUUUAAGGUUGGAUUAAAUGCAAUUUGCAUUAUGAUACGAUCAUAAUCCUGUGGAAGCCAGGGAGGAGAAUGUGAUAGACUGAAUGAAAAUGUCUCCCAUUGGCUCAGUUAUUUGAACAUUUUGUCAUAGGUUGUUGUUAGUGUUUGGGGAAGGUUACAGGAAGGUACAGUCUUUAUGGAGGAAAGCAUCACUGGGGUGGGUGUGGUAGUAUGUUUGUAUGCUGUGUGAAGAUGUAUUGCUGUGCUUGGUGUAAUAAAAACUGAAUGGCCAAUAGCUGGGCAGGAGGCGGGACUUCAAGGCAGAGAGAGAAAUCUGGGAAGAAGAAGGAGUUGCUAGCCAGACACAGAGGAAGAAGAACAUGCAGAAGGAGAGAUAAAAGCCACAAGUCACAUUGCAGCAUGUAGAUUGAUAGAAAUAGGUUAAUUCAAGUUGUAAGAGCUAGUUAGAAACAAACCUAAGCUAAGGCCGAGCUUUCAUAAUUAAGAAGUCUCUGUGUCAUUGUUUGAGAACUGGCUUGCAGGACAGAGAAAGACUCAUUACAGGUGGUCUUCAAGAGUUCAUAUCCUGGUCCCAUUUCCAGUUUCACUCUUCUGCUUUUUUGUGGUUGAAGAUGUGACCUUUCAGCUUCCUGCUCCUGUUGCUAUGCCUGCAACUUGCUGCCAUGUCUUCCUGCCAUGACUGAUUUUUAUCCCAUUAGAACCGUAAACUGAAAUAAACUUCUUCCUUAAAUU
Molecule: non-coding RNA, 2343 nt
Organism: Myodes glareolus (Bank vole)
Lineage: Eukaryota; Metazoa; Chordata; Mammalia; Rodentia; Cricetidae
Source: RefSeq, a predicted model, not a curated record